CAACGUCAAGCCAUUUUCCCAAUGAAAAUAAACAAACACUUAAUAACUACUAAACACUUUUUCUCAAAUAAAGAUGAAAAAGGAACAUGAUGGAUAUCACGAGCUCCAGAGGCUAGGAAAUGAGAUGAAUAUCUCGCCCAUCCGAGUUCUCGUCAUCCCAUAAAAAACAUUCAAUGCGAUUGAUGUAAACUUUUUCUCAAUCAAAAACCUCAAAACAUCUAAAAAUAUCAAUCCCUUUUUGCAAAUAAGAUGGAUAUCUCGCCCAUCCAAAUUAUCGUCAUCACUCAAAAUACAUCCAACAUAUCAAACUUUUUUCUCGCCGCCACACAAUGAUCUUAAAACCCUUUUCACAAACGAAAGGUAUUUUGUCUCGAGACAAUGCAAGACAACACUUCAUCCACUUAUUUGUGUGAGUAAGCUAGCAACAUUUUCCCACGAAUGUUAAUAUUUAUGUCCACUCUACCGUGAUGAAAACGUUCCCUUCUCCACUAUUUUGGGUAGUAAGGGAUAUUUUUCCGUCGAUUGUUAAAAAU
RNAcentral lists this long non-coding RNA (533 nucleotides) under Lathyrus oleraceus (garden pea). RNAcentral describes it as "Pisum sativum (pea) long non-coding RNA (PSAT_LNC024093)". Lineage: Eukaryota; Viridiplantae; Streptophyta; Magnoliopsida; Fabales; Fabaceae. The record is from RNAcentral.